RNAcentral lists this ribosomal RNA (508 nucleotides) under uncultured bacterium. RNAcentral's name for it is "bacterial SSU rRNA". It matches the Rfam family "Bacterial small subunit ribosomal RNA", at positions 21 to 518 of the family's 1533-position model. The record is from RNAcentral.
GGCUCAGGAUGAACGCUAGCUACAGGCUUAACACAUGCAAGUCGAGGGGCAGCAUGGAGUUGCUUGCAAACUCUGAUGGCGACCGGCGCACGGGUGAGUAACGCGUAUCCAACCUUCCCUAUAGUAGAGGAUAGCCCGGCGAAAGUCGGAUUAAUACUCUAUGUUUUCCGUUGCAGACAUCUAAGAUGGAACAAAGGCUUGCCGCUAUAGGAUGGGGAUGCGUCUGAUUAGGUAGUCGGCGGGGUAACGGCCCACCGAGCCAUCGAUCAGUAGGGGUUCUGAGAGGAAGGUCCCCCACAUUGGAACUGAGACACGGUCCAAACUCCUACGGGAGGCAGCAGUGAGGAAUAUUGGUCAAUGGGCGAGAGCCUGAACCAGCCAAGUAGCGUGCAAGGAUGACGGCCCUAUGGGUUGUAAACUGCUUUUAUGCGGGGAUAAAGUUCACUACGUGUAGUGUUUUGUAGGUACCGCAUGAAUAAGGACCGGCUAAUUCCGUGCCAGCAGCAGC